RNAcentral lists this ribosomal RNA (497 nucleotides) under uncultured bacterium. RNAcentral's name for it is "partial 16S ribosomal RNA". It matches the Rfam family "Bacterial small subunit ribosomal RNA", at positions 28 to 507 of the family's 1533-position model. The record is from RNAcentral.
GAUGAACGCUGGCGGCGUGCCUAAUACAUGCAAGUCGAGCGAACGGACGAGAGGCUUGCUUCUCUGAUGUUAGCGGCGGACGGGUGAGUAACACGUGGAUAACCUACCUAUAAGACUGGGAUAACUUCGGGAAACCGGAGCUAAUACCGGAUAAUAUUUUGAACCGCAUGGUUCAAAAGUGAAAGACGGUCUUGCUGUCACUUAUAGAUGGAUCCGCGCUGCAUUAGCUAGUUGGUAAGGUAACGGCUUACCAAGGCAACGAUGCAUAGCCGACCUGUGAGGGUGAUCGGCCACACUGGAACUGAGACACGGUCCAGACUCCUACGGGAGGCAGCAGUAGGGAAUCUUCCGCAAUGGGCGAAAGCCUGACGGAGCAACGCCGCGUGAGUGAUGAAGGUCUUCGGAUCGUAAAACUCUGUUAUUAGGGAAGAACAUAUGUGUAAGUAACUGUGCACAUCUUGACGGUACCUAAUCAGAAAGCCACGGCUAACUACGUG